This 87-nucleotide transfer RNA is filed under the name Streptomyces candidus. It matches the Rfam family "tRNA". Rfam says of the family: Transfer RNA (tRNA) molecules are approximately 80 nucleotides in length. Their secondary structure includes four short double-helical elements and three loops (D, anti-codon, and T loops). Further hydrogen bonds mediate the characteristic L-shaped molecular structure. tRNAs have two regions of fundamental functional importance: the anti-codon, which is responsible for specific mRNA codon recognition, and the 3' end, to which the tRNAs corresponding amino acid is attached (by aminoacyl-tRNA synthetases). tRNAs cope with the degeneracy of the genetic code in two manners: having more than one tRNA (with a specific anti-codon) for a particular amino acid; and 'wobble' base-pairing, i.e. permitting non-standard base-pairing at the 3rd anti-codon position. Lineage: Bacteria; Bacillati; Actinomycetota; Actinomycetes; Kitasatosporales; Streptomycetaceae. The record is from Rfam by way of RNAcentral.
GCGGCCUUGGCGCAGUUGGUUGACGCGAUCGGUUUAGGUCCGAUUUGUCCGUUAUGGACUAGGUGGGUUCGAGUCCCACAGGCCGCA